This 459-nucleotide ribosomal RNA is filed under the name Stenotrophomonas sp. Its description in RNAcentral is "bacterial SSU rRNA". It matches the Rfam family "Bacterial small subunit ribosomal RNA", at positions 1 to 461 of the family's 1533-position model. The record is from RNAcentral. Lineage: Bacteria; Pseudomonadati; Pseudomonadota; Gammaproteobacteria; Lysobacterales; Lysobacteraceae.
GUAAUAGAGUUUGAUCCUGGCUCAGAGUGAACGCUGGCGGUAGGCCUAACACAUGCAAGUCGAACGGCAGCACAGUAAGAGCUUGCUCUUACGGGUGGCGAGUGGCGGACGGGUGAGGAAUACAUCGGAAUCUACCUUUUCGUGGGGGAUAACGCAGCUCCUAUAUCCGCUAAUACCGCAUACGACCUUCGGGUGAAAGCAGGGGACCUUCGGGCCUUGCGCGGAUAGAUGAGCCGAUGUCGGAUUAGCUAGUUGGCGGGGUAAAGGCCCACCAAGGCGACGAUCCGUAGCUGGUCUGAGAGGAUGAUCAGCCACACUGGAACUGAGACACGGUCCAGACUCCUACGGGAGGCAGCAGUGGGGAAUAUUGGACAAUGGGCGCUACCCUUUCCAGCCAUACCGCGUGGGUGAAGAAGGCCGUGGGACCUCCCUUUGUUGAGAAAGAAAAGCAAGCGAUUC